ACGUAGGGGGCAAGCGUUGUCCGGAAUGAUUGGGCGUAAAGGGCGCGUAGGCGGCCUUCUAAGUCCGAUGUGAAAGUCCUGCUUUUAAGGUGGGAAUUGCAUUGGAAACUGGAGGGCUUGAGUGCAGGAGAGGUAAGUGGAAUUCCCGGUGUAGCGGUGAAAUGCGUAGAGAUCGGGAGGAACACCAGUGGCGAAGGCGACUUACUGGACUGUAACUGACGCUGAGGCGCGAAAGUGUGGGGAGCAAACAG
Molecule: ribosomal RNA, 251 nt
Filed under: uncultured prokaryote
Description: partial 16S rRNA
Rfam family: Bacterial small subunit ribosomal RNA
Source: RNAcentral